Lolium rigidum is the source of this 262-nucleotide long non-coding RNA. RefSeq lists it as uncharacterized. NCBI's taxonomy places the organism in Eukaryota, Viridiplantae, Streptophyta, Magnoliopsida, Poales, Poaceae. The transcript has 3 exons. The record is from RefSeq and is a predicted model, not a curated record.
GAGGUUGCUAGCAGGAAAGAUUGUUAUCGUUCGGUCGCGUUUUGGUGGUUUACAGAUGAUGCACACAGGGAAGGCGGCUUUCGCUGGUGUGUGAUACACUGAUUUCUCACCUCAUGGCGUACAUGGUAGCGGGAAAGAUUUUUAUCGUCCGAUCGCGUUUUGAAUGGUCAUAAUAUACUACUGGUGUUUCAGAUCUUCACAGUUUGAGCACUCAGAAAGCAAAGUACCAACAGGGGAUGUUGUAUUCUUUGAAGGUAUGGUA